This 507-nucleotide long non-coding RNA is filed under the name Vulpes vulpes (red fox). Its description in RNAcentral is "lncRNA (ENSVVUG00000007585.1)". Lineage: Eukaryota; Metazoa; Chordata; Mammalia; Carnivora; Canidae. The record is from RNAcentral.
UGUCUCUAGGUAUGGUGUCUCUUCCCUGGGCUAGACGACAGGAAGCUCCAGCUGAGUGACUUUGAACAAUGACGAUACGGAACAUAACUACAGAAGGCAGCCCUUGAAGUCCCCACAGAGAAGGCUGCAGACCAGGGUCCUUUGUAGGAAUAAUGAAAGCUGAGAGCACCCUCUGUCUUUGUAAGCAUCUGUUUGUGUGCUAUGUGGUCAGGAGAAGAACAAGGAUCGAGAGCGGAGUGUCGAGAUCCGAUGAACUUGACCUUAUAGUGACUGAGCAUCUGAGACGUGGAAGAAAUACUGUUAUUACAACACCAAAUUGCAGUUGAAGUAACAGCCUGGGGAAAAGCAACAACAAACCACUUCACUCCUCUGGGUGGAAACAUGCAAUUGUACCAAGAAGGACAAGGAAAAAACUUCUCAUACAUAGAGAAAGAAGUUGGAAUAAGGGAGUGAAAGCAGACAGGCUACUUGGGCAUCUGACGCAAGAGAUGUGAGAAAGUAGCUCAG